RNAcentral lists this long non-coding RNA (1143 nucleotides) under Carassius auratus (goldfish). Its description in RNAcentral is "lncRNA (ENSCARG00000000258.1)". The record is from RNAcentral. Lineage: Eukaryota; Metazoa; Chordata; Actinopteri; Cypriniformes; Cyprinidae.
CAAACCACCCAGCAAGUGCAAGAUACCAUCAAUAAUGCGGUAAACUUAAAAAAAAAAAUAAACAGUAUAAUAUGUCUUAGGUUCAAUGCCAGUCUUCUCCAGAAGCUUAUUAAUUGUUUGAUUUCCCCGUUCAGCUGAACACUCUUCUGAAUGAACCUGGCAGUCCAACUUUACAACCCAAGACCGCCAACUUCACGAUCACUUCAAACCAGAUUGUUGGACAGAUGGAAUACAGCUUCCAGGAUGGAGAUGUCAUACAACCAGUCAGCUUCCUCAAUGAGCUACGUCAACCAACCACUACAACAGUGUUUCCAGAAACAACAUUUGGUUUCUCUGUGACUCCUUCAAACCUCAUGUAAGUGUUGUAUUGCUUUUUUGAGAACAAUAAAAUAAUUAAAGAAAGAAUGUUAUUGCAAAAUUUGAUGUACAUCAAACAAAUGUGGUUAUAUUUACAGAUCUGGUUCAGCAAUGGUCACAAGCAAGCUGGUGUUCAACUCCUCAUCUCCAGUGCCCAGUGAAUCUUUGGUCCUCAGUGCUAUCAAUACUCUCCGUCAUUCCAGAGAGUCACAGCUCAAUGAAUCGGUGAAGGUGCUGAAUGUCACCUAUGAGAAAAUCUCAGAAACUUCCUAUGCUGUGGUCUUUACUUUCAACGUGAUUAACAUCAGCAUGCCAGAGGACCCUGUGUCUAGAGGCAAAACCACCCAGCAAGUGCAAGAUACCAUCAAUAAUGCGCUGAACACUCUUCUGAAUGAACCUGGCAGUCCAUCUUUACAACCCAAGACCGCCAACUUCACGAUCACUUCAAACCAGAUUGAUGGCAAGAUGGAAUACAGCUUCCAGGAUGGAGAUGUCAUACAACCAGUCAGCUUCCUCAAUGAGCUACGUCAACCAACCACUACAACAGUGUUUCCAGAAACAACAGCCAGUGUUUCUGUUACUACUCCCAACCUCAUAUCUGGUUCAGCAGUGGUCACAAGCAAGCUGGUGUUCAACUCCUUAUCUCCAGUGCCCAGUGAAUCUCUGGUCCUCAGUGCUAUCAAUACUCUCCGUCAUUCCAGAGAGUCACAGCUCAAUGAAUCGGUGAAGGUGCUGAAUAUCACCUAUGAGAGUAAGUGUCAUAAUUUUCCCUUCAAAAGAUUUUAA